This 272-nucleotide long non-coding RNA is filed under the name Lotus japonicus. RNAcentral describes it as "long non-coding RNA (LJAP_LNC001975)". Lineage: Eukaryota; Viridiplantae; Streptophyta; Magnoliopsida; Fabales; Fabaceae. The record is from RNAcentral.
UCACAUAUUUCUUUUGCCAUCUGAAGAUGUUUGCCACCAGACAAAUUAUAUGCAUAAACCUUUUUCUCUGUGGCGAAAAUCAAGCAAUCACCAUUCAUAACGGCAAACCCUUCAACUCUUGGAUCUUCCUCCUUCAACCCCAUCGCUUUCACCCUUAUUUUCGAAACCCUUCUCCAUAAAGUUGACUUGUAGUCUUCCAAGAUCCAUACGGUAAAGACGCGCUUCCGGUACCUCACUAAACAAAUUGAAUGAUCUGAACUCUUCGCCUUCCC